GCGGGCUUGGACUGCAGCUCCCACCACCAUCGCGAUCUUACCCGUACGGUUGCCUCGGCGCUGGCGGUCCGGAAGGCCCUCGGGCCCCCGGAUCCUCGGGUCUCCCGCUCGCGGGAGGCUGCCCGCCGGAGUGCCGAAACCAAACUCUUGAUAUUUUAUGUCUCUCUGAGUAAACUUUUAAAUAAGUCAAAACUUUCAACAACGGAUCUCUUGGUUCUGGCAUCGAUGAAGAACGCAGCGAAAUGCGAUAAGUAAUGUGAAUUGCAGAAUUCAGUGAAUCAUCGAAUCUUUGAACGCACAUUGCGCUCGCCAGUAUUCUGGCGAGCAUGCCUGUUCGAGCGUCAUUUCAACCAUCAAGCUCUGCUUGCGUUGGGGAUCCGCGGCUGCCCGCGGUCCCUCAAAAACAGUGGCGGGCUCGCUAGUCACACCGAGCGUAGUAACUCUACAUCGUUCUGGUCGUGCGGCGGGUUCUUGCCGUAAAACCCCCCAAUUUCUAAGGUUGACCUCGGAUCAGGUAGGAAUACCCGCUGAACUUAAGCAUAUCAAUAAGCGGAGGAA
Molecule: ribosomal RNA, 558 nt
Filed under: fungal sp. TZ-2013
Lineage: Eukaryota; Fungi
Description: eukaryotic LSU rRNA
Rfam family: 5.8S ribosomal RNA (bases 191-344)
Source: RNAcentral